CCUACGGGAGGCUGCAGUGGGGAAUAUUGCACAAUGGGCGCAAGCCUGAUGCAGCCAUGCCGCGUGUGUGAAGAAGGCCUUCGGGUUGUAAAGCACUUUCAGCGGUGAGGAAGGCGGUGAGGUUAAUAACCUCAUCGAUUGACGUUACCCGCAGAAGAAGCACCGGCUAACUCCGUGCCAGCAGCCGCGGUAAUACGGAGGGUGCAAGCGUUAAUCGGAAUUACUGGGCGUAAAGCGCACGCAGGCGGUCUGUCAAGUCGGAUGUGAAAUCCCCGGGCUCAACCUGGGAACUGCAUUCGAAACUGGCAGGCUAGAGUCUUGUAGAGGGGGGUAGAAUUCCAGGUGUAGCGGUGAAAUGCGUAGAGAUCUGGAGGAAUACCGGUGGCGAAGGCGGCCCCCUGGACAAAGACUGACGCUCAGGUGCGAAAGCGUGGGGAGCAAACAGGAUUAGAUACCCCAGUAGUC
RNAcentral lists this ribosomal RNA (465 nucleotides) under uncultured Klebsiella sp. RNAcentral's name for it is "bacterial SSU rRNA". It matches the Rfam family "Bacterial small subunit ribosomal RNA", at positions 338 to 795 of the family's 1533-position model. The record is from RNAcentral. Lineage: Bacteria; Pseudomonadati; Pseudomonadota; Gammaproteobacteria; Enterobacterales; Enterobacteriaceae.